Molecule: long non-coding RNA, 2350 nt
Filed under: Triticum aestivum (bread wheat)
Lineage: Eukaryota; Viridiplantae; Streptophyta; Magnoliopsida; Poales; Poaceae
Description: long non-coding RNA (TAES_LNC020807)
Rfam family: MIR1120/MIR1122 microRNA precursor family (bases 1437-1551)
Source: RNAcentral
UGGCUGUAUUUCUUUCUUUCCAAAUUUGAUUGUGUCAUUCUUGUAAUUUCUUUACCAUGCUAUGCAGAAUGAAUCAUCUUUUGAUGGUGCUCAAGUCAUGGGCAUAGAUGCAUCUAACCAAAUAAUACUUGCUUCUGGAAGGCACCUGGUGUAGGUGGAGAACAUGUUCUUAGAGAGGUACAUUUAAAUCUCGUUCUUUGCCAAAUUAAUGGCUACCACCACUAAAUUUUUGCAACACCUUAUUGUAACAUGAUGGGCAGCAGUUCUAUGUCCCCUCUCCGAGCUGCUCUUUCAUGGUACUAGUUCCUCGGAGCAAUCCUUAUAUAUCUUGUAUAUCUUAAUUACUUCCUAUUUACAGCUAGGUAUUUGGCUUGCUAGGUAAAGCAAAGGAACCAUAUUGAUACUCACGAUGAACUUAAUUAGCAAAGUUAAAAUUCUGUUCAAAAUUCAGAACUGAUAUGAUUUAUUGUAUUUGUACAUGCUUUGCAUAUUGAUGAUUUGGUAAGCAUCGCUACACUGGGCAUGACCAAUUGCUUAAAAGAAGGUCUCUAUCAUAUUGAUGAUCUGUCAAAAUGUACGUGUAGAUAUUCUGCACAUUCUGGUUCAUGCCACUACUUAAUUAAGGUCUUCUUUUAUGAGGUUCUGCCUUGUGCAAAUAAUAUGAUUAUUUAGCAGCUUGGUUUCAUGGCUUUGGAUCUCAUGUGAAUAAACUAUAUAUUAAGUGUUUGCUGUUCUUUGCUUAAUAAUAAUAAUAGUAACUUUGGAAAUUACAAGCUUCAGUACAAAGAUGCCAAAGUUUUGAUAUAAAUUGUACUAACUCAUAAUGGUGGCUUCUAAUUAUAGUGAACUAGAUAGGCGCUCACAUGCUAGUGGGCUUCGGUGGCAUUUUGAGCUCUUGGCUGUUGUCUUUAACUGCCAAUGCGUAGCGGCCAACAAAAUUAGCUCUAGUGCUUUGUGUGAACUUAUGGUGGUUAUUUACUUUAUUUCAUUGUACACUGCAUUGUGCUAUAUAUGUUCCAUAAGUAUAAACAUGCUAUGCUUGGCAUGCGGUUUUGGGGAAAAAGGAAGCAUCGCAUGUGUACAAAUCGUUUGACCUGCAUUUUACUACUUGCUAUUUACUAUACAUCGAAAUUGUACUUGUAAGUGUAAAAAUUUGUCUGCGGUUAAAAAAGUUUUGUAUCAAGCUUGUAAGUUUUGUCACAAGGAUGAGAUUGUUUAAUACUACAAAACUUCAUACCUUUGCUUUCAUAAUUUCUGUAUACGAAACCAUUCUAAACUAAACCAACUAGAUCCGAUCCUUAUCUGUUCAUAAUUUUUUUCUCUGUGGUUCAAAAAGUUAAUUGACGUCUACAAAGUUGUACUAAAGUUGCAUCAAUUAAUUUGGGUAUUAGGGAGUAUCAAUCUUGUAAGUUUUGUCACAAGGAUGAGAUUGUUGAAUGCUACUCCCUCCAUUCUGAAUUACUUGUCGCAGGUAUGGAUGUAUCUAGAUGUAUUUUAGUUUUAGAUACAUCCAUUUUUGUGACAAGUAAUUUGGAACGGAGGGAGUACAAAACUUCAUACCUUUGCUUCAUGUUCUUGAUGUUUGAACUGGGGAUCCCAUGAAAUUCUUUUUUGUAACAUGGUUCUCAUCUCUGAACAUCCUCAGCUUUCCAUUUUUAGAAUUUUUUAAAACAAAAUACGGCAAUUGACAUCUGUUUCGUUAGCUUUUUAUACUAAUGUUUUACUUCUCCGAACUAAAUUUUUGCAAAUUACAUCGAUCUAGUUGCAGGUCUUUGUAUAUUUCCACAAUUAUGGAGGGUGUGGUUUAGCUGUGUUUUUCAGAGCAUUGCAAGUUUGGUGACUCUUCUGGGGGAGUCAUGUGGCUCUUUUUGAAUGAUGGCGUUUCAUAGGAUGGUGGCAAGUCUGGUAUUUAGAAGACAUUUUAUGAAGCCUGAGGAAGUCCUGGAUUAGGGGGUGUUCGGAUAGCCGGAACUAUACCUUCGGCCGGACUCCUGGGCUAUGAAGAUAUAAGAUUGAAAAUUUCGUCCCGUGUCUGGAAGGGACUUUUCUUGGCGUGGAAGGCAAGCUUGGCGAUACGGAUAUGUAGAUCUCCUACCAUUGUAACCGACUCUGUGUAACCCUAGCCCUCUUCGGUGUUUAUAUAAACUGGAGGGUUUUAGUCCGUAGGAACAACCAUCAUACCAUAGGCUAGCUUUUAGGGUUUAGCUUCCUUAAUCUCGUGGUAGAUCUACUCUUGUACUACCCAUAUCAUCAAUAUUAAUCAAGCAGGAGUAGGGUUUUACCUCUAUCGAGAGGGCCCGAACCUGGGUAAAAACAUCGUGUCCUUUGUCUUCUGUUACCAUCCGUCUAG